AUGGACCUUCCUGUCCCCAAUUCAGCAUCACCUAGCUCUCUCCUAAUGUGGGUUAAUUUUCCAUCAGCUCCUAGAAAGAGUGUAUUUCCAGACUCUCUGGGGACAGACAGAGGAGUUUCAAACAGGAUAAAGCAAGCUUCGAUGGAGAAUAUUUGGAGCCUGUCAUGGCAUCAGGCUGCUCCGACCACAUUUCUGCCAGAGGGGGGGAAAUGUGUUUGCUUGGAACAGGGUCACUGUGAAAAUCAAAUGAGAUUGCACAGGGAAAAAUCUCUUCAGACUGGAGCUCCAUGCAAUGGUCAUCAUCUGUUGAUGUUGCUCUCUGGCCUCUACAAAGGAUGAGCCAGUGAUGUGUACAACGUUAAAAGAAAUAUUUGUGGAAUGAAAUGAGUGGAUGUUGUGUAAACAUUCAUUGUGCAUGUACGUAUUUAGCUCCACUAACCAGAACCCUGGGGGACCAGAACCAGUUACCCCAGUGUCUAGGGAGGAAGAAAGAAAUCUCUCUCCUUAGCUGAAACCUUACUAAGAGCUCAGUCCAGAGCUUGCUUGAAAGUAAAGACAUGUCAUCCAAUUUAAUCCCCACACCAGCCCCACAGAGAGAUCUUUUUAUAUCCCUAUGCUAAGAAGACCUACCACUGACUGUGUGCCAGAUCUGUGCAAGAUGCUUUUGAAAAAUGUAAUUCCCUUUAAGUGCUCACACUAUCUCAAUGAGACAAGAAUUAUUAUUACUGAACAGAAAACAAGGUCAAAAAGUUUAAGUGAUCUGCUCAAGGGCAAAUGGGCAGUAAGAGAAGAAAGAGGAUGAGUCAGGAUUGAACAGGGGUUUGCUCUGUUCAAAUAAAUAAAAUCAAAUUAAUAAGGCUGCCCCUUCACCAACUGCUUCCCUGACAUUCUCACAUACGUUCGGUUGGCGCUUAAUAGGAACUGAAUUGAAACCUCCCGGUGAUCUGCUAGAGACUUGGAUCUCUAGCAAUAGAUGCUUCAAAGGGAUCAGUUUCUAUUUCCGAUGCCCACAGAAAUCUUGAGGGAGAUUUCUCCCUACCCUUGCUCUGGCGUCACGAUGUUCCUGUUUUUCUCUGGGCCCUGUGACUCAGCACACGGCUCCAGAUGGCUUCUUGCAUUUCCAGCCUUCUUGGCUGAAGUGCCCAGGCCCUGGUACAGUAAACAAACCCAAACUAAAUUGCAACAAAGCAUCAAGGCCUCCCCGCCCCUGCCCUCUGUUAUGAAGACUACUCAUAAUGGCCGGUCCCUCCAUGGCUGGCCUCCCUGAAAAAGUCCCCUUCCCUCCUAGCCCUGAGAUCACCCCACUUGGCCCCAGCACAUCUGAGGCCCAAAGAUGAGAUCCGGGAGCAAUCAUUCUCCCAGCAACCAGUAAAAGGACGAAAGCGCAGUUCUUUCACCCUUUGAUCCAUUACUGACUGUAGGCAAUUUACUUUCUGAGCCUCGGUAAUCACAUGGAGACGCUAAUAUUGUCUGCUCCUGAGGGUUGAGAGUUAGAGUUGCCAGACAAAAUACAGAAAAUCCAGUUGCAUUUGAAUGUCAGAUAAAUGAUCUUUUUUUUCAGUACAAGCAUGUCCCAAAUAUUGCUCAAAUUUAACUGUGUGCCUCGUGACUUUAUUUGUUAAAUCUGGCAAGCUUAUGUGGAGUGUGGAGUGAGAUAACAAACGCAAAAGUGCUUUGUCACCUAAGGAGAGCUAUACACUUCAUGAUAUCUUUUCCAUGAGAUGUAUGCAUGUGUACCCAUGGCAACCAGCUUUGUCUGGAUCAUGGAAGUGGUAGUUUCAGGCAGGUGGUGGAGAAUGUGUACCACCUGAGCCCGUGAAUUGAGAUCCCUGGGUCUUGUUUGUCAAUUGACUGAUCUUUGGACAUUUCACUUCUGAGCCUUUGAUGCUUCCAUCUUUAAUUCUCUCAAAUGCUUGAAUAAAAAACAUAGGAGUAACAGAUGCUCAAAAGUUUGCCUAUUACUGAUUAACUAUCAUGUGCUGUAGGCCAAAUCUCCUUUUGAUUUUGUGGUUAAAGAAGAAACAAGUAGAAUAAUUUAUAAGUGUAAAUCCUUAUUUAUUAUUACAUAAUAAAGGAUGUAUAUGCGCAACAUUUAACUCUAAUAUGUUUUAAGAGCCCUGUUUAACAUAGGAAAACAAAGGAACCAGUAUACUAUAAAUAGACUAUGAUGCUUAUUUUGGAUUUGGGGUGUUUCCUCCUACUAGAAAUCUAAAUUCUGUGAGAGGAGAGAUUUUUGCCUGUUUUGUUCCCCAGGACUUAGAACAGUGCCUGGCCCAGGAAGAGUGGAAUAUUUGAGCAACUGAAACCAGUUUAACUAGCCACAUAAAGAGAAAUAAAUGCAGCAAGGCACAGAGUCUCAUGCCUGUAAUCCCAUCACUUUGGGAGGCUGAGGCAGGAGGACUGCUUGAGCCAAGGAGUUUAAGACCAGCCUGGGCAACAAAGUGAGACCCUGUCUCUGCAAAAGAAAUAUAAAAGUUAGCCAGGUGUGGUGGCACAUGCUUGUGGUCCCACUUACAGGAGAGGCUAAAGCAGGAGGAUCCCUUGAGACUAGGAUGUCAAGGCUGCAGUUAGCCAUGUUCAGGCUGCUGCACUUCAGCCUGGAUGACAGAGCAAGACACUGUCUCAAAAAAGAAGGAGAGAGAGAGAGAGAGCGAGAGAGAGAGAGACAGAGAGAGACAGAGAGAGAGAGAGACAGAGAGAGAGGGAGAAAGAAAGGAAGGAAGAAAGAAAGAAAGAAAAAGAAAGAGAGGAAGGAAAAAAUGCACUUAUAAUCUAUUGGAAAGGAACCUUUCUGGAACUAACCCACCUCCCUUUCUUGCUAAGUUAUAGUCAUAGCCCUAAGUUUUUAGAGGGAUUUACACCACUUCCCAACAGGGUCUCCACCAAGCAGUGACCCACUCACUCAAGUGUUCAGUGACCUAGGUUGCUUGGUAUGCCUUUUUACAAACUCCCCAAAGAGCUGCUGCUAUGUUUAUUAUGUUUCAACAAAUUUGC
RNAcentral lists this long non-coding RNA (2994 nucleotides) under Callithrix jacchus (white-tufted-ear marmoset). RNAcentral describes it as "lncRNA (ENSCJAG00000072448.1)". Lineage: Eukaryota; Metazoa; Chordata; Mammalia; Primates; Cebidae. The record is from RNAcentral.